UAAAAUAAAGUCAUUAACCCAGAGCGAAGCACUAAGCAAAUGGCAUGAAAGGUGCCUUUAGUCACGAUAAUUUUCUCUGUUAUUAGCAGCCUCCUUCCUUGGUCCGCUUGCUGCUGGAUGAUUUACUGCUUGGAGAAUUUGUCAGCUCUUUCAUAAUUUAUUGAAUCUGGAUAAACCCUUAAAGCUCAGCUGUUUUCACGUCUGGAUUUUUAAUGCCAUGGCGCACAAAACAUGGAAACAAAGGAUGGAGUUAUACAGGAGAUGGGGUUUGUCUGAAGAUGAGAUUUGGUUUAUUUUCUGAAAGCAUCCCAGAUGUUUGACUUUAUCUGAGAAGCAGGUCAUUGGCACAAUGAAUUUUCUUGUGUGCAAGAUGGGUUGGCAGCCUGCUUCUGUUGCCAGAGUUCCAUGUGUUCAUUUUGCGUUUAAAGGUUUGAUUAAGGAAUCUUCAGUGUUGAUACUUUCUUAAAAGCACUUCAUGCUAAAGUAUGUGAUCAAGUGUCAAGAACAGUAGCAUCAAUUGUUGGAUCUCUUUCAGGGAAAAAUGGGUCUUACAUAACUUGGCUUUGGCUUUGAUGAUAAAUGUAGGAUUUCUGGGCUAAGAAAUAUAUGGCCUGCAGCAUGAGUGACUUUGAUAACUAACUUUUACUUCUCAUUAGAUAAUUUUUUCCCUUUUAAGCAAAAGAUGGUGGCAUCCAUUUUUUGUCUUGCAAUGAAUUGAGGCAAAGUCCUGCAUUUGAUUGCUUGUUUCCUAUAAGUCAAAGUGUUUCUUUUUUGGCUGAA
Hevea brasiliensis (rubber tree) is the source of this 780-nucleotide long non-coding RNA. RefSeq lists it as uncharacterized. NCBI's taxonomy places the organism in Eukaryota, Viridiplantae, Streptophyta, Magnoliopsida, Malpighiales, Euphorbiaceae. The transcript is spliced from 2 exons. The record is from RefSeq and is a predicted model, not a curated record.